Molecule: long non-coding RNA, 548 nt
Organism: Cervus elaphus (red deer)
Lineage: Eukaryota; Metazoa; Chordata; Mammalia; Artiodactyla; Cervidae
Exons: 3
Source: RefSeq, a predicted model, not a curated record
GUCAAGCAAGGGUAAGGGAGGAUUCCAAACCCCGGUGAAGAGGUGAAGAGUACGGGAAGAGGUUUGGGGCUGGGCUCAAGAAAAGAACCGCGGGAACAGCCGACAGCCGACGGACUCGGUUGCCAGGGCUCCAAGGGGAGCGGAAACAGCGCCUUUGAGUCACGUCAGUUGGUGAGAUCGGGUCUUCGUUGAUUUCGAGUAGGGAAGAUGCCGUAGGGACUAUGGUGCACAGUAGAAUAUAAGGAGGUACCCCGGGAGGGGUCAAGGGAGGCGUGGGGGCUCCAGAGCUCGAGGAUGGAUGCAAAAGAGCACCCGGGAUCUCGAAGAAGGAUUAUAAGGGUGCCUCACCGGGGACUGGCAGCGUCACGGGUGACGAGCUACUGAGGACCACCAGGCCGUCGAGAUUGAGGCGGGCGUGGCAGGUGACGAAGCAGUGCACAUCGGAACUCCAGGCCCUCACAUCCAGCAGCUGGUAGGCUACCCAGCGGGGCCCACUGAGCGUCUCACCCCGCCGCAGCUCGGUGCGGAGGCUGGAACCCUCCGGGAGG